GUGCAACCAGCCCUGAGAACCCUCAGAGGUGCUCUGGCCUCCUCCUCUCACUGUGAACUUUGCAAUGGCAAUAAGUACAGGCAGAUAUAUUGGAGAUUCUCUAUCCAAGACUUUUCCCCUGGGCAACACGGGGACGCCUUGAAAUAGCAAGAAAAGUCAAUGUUCCUCUGUUAUGCUCUUUGCUCCCCGACAUCUGAGAGAGAAGGAUUUCCAGUCACCAUGUUGUUCUUCAGUUCAUCCAUCUGCAGCCUGCUCCUUCUGCUUCACAUUGCAGACUUUGCUGGCCAGAGUCAACUUGUCAGAAGCAGGAAUGUUUAUGGUUUUUGGCUGCUAAGGCUGUGGAUGUCUUCAAGGACAGCUUACCUGGUCAUAUGCAGGCCGAGUGUGUAUCCCUGGGACUGGAAAGGGUCUGAAGUGUGUGCUCUGCAAGGUAAGAACCUCACCAACACAUCAUGUAUUUUUUACCUUGUGAAUUAGAUUUUGAUGGAGUAUGUAUGUAUGUAUGAAAUUUAUAUUUCAAUAAUUAUGUAGGUUUUUUCCAGGAGGUGAAUA
Junco hyemalis (dark-eyed junco) is the source of this 552-nucleotide long non-coding RNA. The record is from Ensembl. NCBI's taxonomy places the organism in Eukaryota, Metazoa, Chordata, Aves, Passeriformes, Passerellidae.